RNAcentral lists this non-coding RNA (30 nucleotides) under Homo sapiens (human). The record is from RNAcentral. Lineage: Eukaryota; Metazoa; Chordata; Mammalia; Primates; Hominidae.
UCCUGCCACAGCUACUGCAACUGCCGAUGC